This 46-nucleotide non-coding RNA is filed under the name Schistosoma margrebowiei. The record is from RNAcentral. Lineage: Eukaryota; Metazoa; Platyhelminthes; Trematoda; Strigeidida; Schistosomatidae.
GCACUGCUGAAGAGUUCCACAAUAGGACGAAACGGCCGCCCAGUGC